RNAcentral lists this ribosomal RNA (245 nucleotides) under uncultured Thermoanaerobaculum sp. RNAcentral's name for it is "partial 16S ribosomal RNA". It matches the Rfam family "Bacterial small subunit ribosomal RNA", at positions 524 to 768 of the family's 1533-position model. Lineage: Bacteria; Pseudomonadati; Acidobacteriota; Thermoanaerobaculia; Thermoanaerobaculales; Thermoanaerobaculaceae. The record is from RNAcentral.
UACGGAGGGGGCGAGCGUUAUUCGGAAUUACUGGGCGUAAAGCGCGCGCAGGUGGCGUGGCAAGUGGCAGGUGAAAGCCCUCGGCUCAACCGAGGAAUUGCCUGCCAAACUACCGCGCUUGAGGCCGGGAGGGGGAAGCGGAAUUCCUGGUGUAGCGGUGAAAUGCGUAGAUACCAGGAGGAACACCGGUGGCGAAGGCGGCUUCCUGGACCGGUUCUGACACUCAUGCGCGAAAGCGUGGGGAG